CCUACGGGAGGCAGCAGUGAGGAAUAUUGGUCAAUGGACGCAAGUCUGAACCAGCCAUGCAGCGUGCAGGAAGACGGCCCUAUGAGUUGUAAACUUCUUUUGUACGAGGGUAAACCCAGAUACGCGUAGCUGUCUGUAAGUAUCGUACGAAUAAGGAUCGGCUAACUCCGUGCCAGCAGCCGCGGUAAUACGGAGGAUUCAAGCGUUGUCCGGAUUUCUUGGGUUUAAAGGGUGCGUAGGCGGUCGGAUAAGUUAGAGGUGAAAACCCGAGGCUCAACUUAGGAGUUGCCUCUGAAACUGUUCGGCUAGAGAGUAGUUGCGGUAGGCGGAAUUUAUGGUGUAGCGGUGGAAUGCUUAGAGAUCAGAAAGAACACCGAUGGCGAAGGCAGCUUACCAAGCUACUUCUGACGCUGAGGCACGAAAGUGUGGGGAGCAAACAGGAUUAGAUACCCGAGUAGUC
RNAcentral lists this ribosomal RNA (460 nucleotides) under uncultured bacterium. RNAcentral's name for it is "partial 16S ribosomal RNA". It matches the Rfam family "Bacterial small subunit ribosomal RNA", at positions 338 to 795 of the family's 1533-position model. The record is from RNAcentral.